This 393-nucleotide ribosomal RNA is filed under the name Callinectes aff. similis/danae H34. RNAcentral's name for it is "partial 16S ribosomal RNA". It matches the Rfam family "Bacterial large subunit ribosomal RNA", at positions 1933 to 2531 of the family's 2925-position model. The record is from RNAcentral. Lineage: Eukaryota; Metazoa; Arthropoda; Malacostraca; Decapoda; Portunidae.
GCGGUAUCUUGACCGUGCAAAGGUAGCAUAAUCAUUAGUUUCUUAAUUGGGAACUUGUAUGAAUGGUUGGACAAAGAAAAAUCUGUCUCUUGUAUUAAAAUUGAAUUUAACUUCUGAGUGAAAAGGCUCAGAUUAGCCAGAGGGACGAUAAGACCCUAUAAAGCUUUAUAAAUUUAUUAAUUUCUUCUAUUUUUUUAUAAUGAUGAUGUUAAGAAGAUUUAUUUGGUUGGGGCAACCGAAGUAUAAUUAAAAAUAACUGCUAAUAUUUUAUACAAUGAUUUUUGUUUUAAUAAUAAUUGAUCCUUAAAAAGAUUAAAGACCAAGUUACUUUAGGGAUAACAGCGUAAUUUAUCCUGAGAGUCCUUAUCAAAGGAGAAGUUUGCGACCUCGAUG